CUCAUCUGUACAUUCACUGGUUUUAUAUAUCUGCAAAGCUAUAUUCCUGCAGCCUUGAUCCAUGCCGCUCUUUGAGUUCUGAUCUCCCUCAUCUCACUCAUGGAGACCUUCUCUUCAAGGCUUCUGCUACCAGUCUUCUUCACCUCACUCCUGCUGCUUUCCUCUCUGAAAACUGCUACUGCGGCAGGUAACCAACUAAACUUUCAACCUUCAUGAACGAGAAGGUGCCUAUUGCCAACUAGUUUGCUGGUGAAAUCUUUGGGUGAU
RNAcentral lists this long non-coding RNA (267 nucleotides) under Elaeis guineensis (African oil palm). RNAcentral describes it as "long non-coding RNA (EGUI_LNC082438)". The record is from RNAcentral. Lineage: Eukaryota; Viridiplantae; Streptophyta; Magnoliopsida; Arecales; Arecaceae.